This is a long non-coding RNA of Homo sapiens (human), 1248 nucleotides long. The record is from Ensembl. Lineage: Eukaryota; Metazoa; Chordata; Mammalia; Primates; Hominidae.
GGAAUUACAGCCUUUUAAUUUACAACUUGGGUUCUUGAAGAGAAGUCCUCUGACCAGCAGCCUGAUCACCUGGAAAUUUGUUAGAAAUGUAGGUUCCUGGGCCUCCCGAGACUGACUGCUCAGAAGUUCUGGAGAUGUCACUGCCACUCUCCCCAGCUCCAUCUUCAUCCCGCCGAGUCCCAUCUUCCUUCUCACCAGCCUGGUAUUUUUGAACGUACAUUUGAAUUGCAACAGUCGGCAUCAAGAUGGUGGGAAAUAGCAGUUGAGAUUUCUCAACUAGAAGAUUGAAAAGUCUAAGGCUGGACAAACAAUCAAACAAUGAGAGACAUGGUGGCUCAUGCCUGUGAUUCCAGCACUUGGGAGGCCAAGGUUAAGCCUGAGUUUGGUCUUCUGUUACUUGGAACUGAAAUAAUGUGCAUUGACACACCUAACAAGUCAAAGUAUUGUCUUUUGCUGGUCUGCUCUGGUCCUGGAAACAUCCACUGAUAGAAUCACUGGUCUGGGACAAAUUGUGGUACCCAAAGACCUCAGGAAGCACUUAGAAGCAUUACUCCUGAAGUCCCAUUCGUCCCAAGAAGAGUUGCUGGCUGGAGGAGACAAUAUGUAAACAUGUCAUGACAAGAUGGUGUGCCAUCAAGUCUGAGAUAAUCUGUUAUGGCAACGUAAGAAGCUAAUACAAGAUGCAGGAGUGAAGCAGCGAGGUCUGGAAAAAAGCUAUUGCAAAAAUACAGUCUCAGCAAGGGGAUAGAAGGAGCCCUGCAUUCUCUCCUGACACGCUUGACAAAAACAAACCCAACUAGAGGUCGCCAGCAACGGAGGGGCAUCCUGUGUAAGGACUUGGAAGAGGAGUUGUAUUGUCACCCCCUGGCCACUAGAGGACUUCAUCCUAUUUCAGUGGAGGAAGGCCUGUUAGGGGCCUCUCUAUACUGGUGGAGGUUUGGUCGUCUUCCCUUCACUUGAUUUCUGCCAGUGGCCUUAUGUGAGGAUGCUUCAUGAGAUGUCAAGUAUCCGAGGAGUCUGUGACACAACCAUCCAGUGGUGAAUUGCUAAGGAGCUCCUCUCCAGCCUGCUUGACUCUGAGGUUAAAAGAGUCUUCAUGUUGAGCACAAGUCAUCUCUUUGCACUUUCACCAGUUGUGUCCAUCUGAAAAACACAGAGGUCUGUCUCACUUCUGCAUCACAGUCCCUUCCAAGAAGCUCCACAAUGGGUAAGGCACAAUAAAAUGGCUUAUAUUCAACAAACACAUAA